UUGGACAGAAAGUGUAUGAACCAUUAAGUCCUGAAAGGCAGGCAUUGAGCAAAGGGAUCUUUUCUAUCUCUACCCCCCACCCCUCCCCUGCCAAGCCUCCCCAUUUCCUGGUCUUUAAAGGGAGGGGGCCCCUAAGCUCUGCUUUGAGGUCUCUGACAGUCCAGGUGGCCAUCUGUCCCCAACUCCUACAGCCAGUACAACUGGGUCUGAAGGGCUAUAACACAGUAGGUGCUGAAUAUGUGCUGUGUUGACACAUGGACCAUGUCACCCCAAUAAUGCAGGGGAAGGGCUUGGAGGAGCUGUGCCACAUUGUGCUUCGGGAACACACAGGCUUCAUCUCAAAAGACUAGAAUUUGAUCCAGGCUUUUCCACUCACUGGUACUGUGAUUUGUGCAAAUCCUUAAGUCCUCCAUCCUAGAAUUAUUUAAUCUGCAAAAUGAGGGUAGGAGUGCAUAUGUCUUGGGAUUUGGAGGAUCAGAUGAUAUAAUGCUUGUGAUGUGCUUAAUAUGGUCCUUAGAAAAUGUAGGAACCUACUGAAAAUUACUGCAUGACUUAGACCGAGUGUUGCUGCUAUGUAAUCAAAUAAAAUGCUAUUUUUUUGUCAUUUAAAUAGUUCGUUCUAGAUGAAAUCUGCCUGGAGCCAGUUCUGAGUGAUCACCUCACCUCAUCUUUUUUCCACCAAAUUCGAGGGCAUUAGUGUUGCUCAACUCUGGCUUCAGAAUUGACGCUGAGGUGGUUGGUCCUGAGGCAGAUAAAGGCUCUUGCACAUUCUUCUUCUUUCUGAUUCUUCCUUUCCUCUCAAACAUCUUCCUGGAGUCCUGGGAUGAGGCCCUAAUAAGCAUAAGGGGAAAAUAAAAGCUAGUUGUAAAUGUCCCAUCUGGCCAAUACUUUCCAUUUCUUGCUUGAGUAGGACCCCCCCCCCAACAAAUCUUGAAUCAUCAUUUCUCUUCUUUCAAUGACUCACAAAAUGGUUUUAAUUAUAUGGUAUUUUUCUAAGUAAACACCCCCCACCCCACGAAAGAGAAAACAAUUUCUAAUUUUUGUUGAAUUAAGUCAGGAACCACUCAGAACCUUGAUUGCUGACAACAACAUUAGUGACCCAAGGCUUUUUACUUGGUGAUACUGUUCUCGUUCUUGUGCAAGUUCAAGCAACAAGGAAGUAGCAACAAGGAAGUAGGAACCAGCCCAGAGAGACAGCAAGAAAAAUAUAAAACAGAACUUCAGGACAGGGCUCUAGAUCCCAGGGAAAAUCUAGGAGUUAUUUUGGUAACAGUUUUGCCAGGGGAAAAAUAUGCAAAGAUCUUCGUUUCCACCAUAAACAAACACAGUAUUAUCCUGACCACAGGAUGACCAUGAGGCAUCCUUCCAGGACGCUGUCCCAAAUAUAUGAAUAGUAACAGCUGAUUACUGAGCAAUCCUGCUUCCUCCUUUAUUUAAACUCUUUAUGUUCCACACAUUCAUUAAUAUUUCCCUGCAUGUCUCAUUAUUAUCUCAUCAAACAUUUAUUAUUACUUCAAGAUAGAUAAUUAAAAUUUUAUACUGUUAUUUCUCUGUAUGACAAUCCAAGAGAUUUCAAAUCCCCCCCUUCCCCUCAACCCCAGCACUCCUCUGCACCCUAACAAUCGGGUCACAAAACUCAUGAACUUUCAAUUCAUUGCACAGAAAGCAUAGGGACAAAAAUCUAAAAUUCAUUUUGAAUGGGAGUUUAGUUUCCUGCAUAAUGAUUCAGUUAUUGUAAUUGUUAAAGAAUCAGACAGAGGUCUCGAAGGACAAUACUUGCUCUUCAUCAAAUAAAUAACCGGACUCCAUUGAUAACAUUACGAGAUAGACAAACAAUGCAGAGAGCGAUUUUUAAGGCCAGAAGUGGAUUUGUUAGAAUUGAGUACUCCCAGACAGCAAACGCAAUAAACUCAAAAAGAUUAGCAAAGAAUUACUCUCUUUCCAGGAUGCGUAUUACAGUUAGGAUUAAAAAUUCUGAUGUGGAUUGUAUAUCACACAUAUUGCCCAGAGCACAGAAGUAUCAAAUUCAUCGCAACCAGGGUAAGAUAUUUUUUCCGCUGGAAUUUAAGAAUGUAGGUUGGUUCUCCGCUACUUACAGCUUAGAAGAGAAUUUCCGGGUGGGAGGCCGUCCAUGAAGCCUUAAGAAACCCGUGACCUUUUGUUUUUCGUGUGCCAUUUCCCUGCCUAGUCUUGAGCCUGAGCAGAAACAUUAACUGAGAUCAAACCUCACCCUGAGGGGCUUGACAUGAAAUUUCUUAAAUGGCUUGAACUUGAAUCUAUAAAUCUUAUCAUUUCACCAAAAAAUAAUGAAUGCCAAGCUCCAGAAAAUUUGAACAGGUUCACAUCUCUUCUUUAAAUAUGCAAACCAGGAAGAUGUCAAUUUAGUCUGCCUAAUUAAUUAAAUAGGUUAAUGCCACUUAAUUUGGGAAAAAUACUACUGCUAUAUUUCAAUUGCUAUAGCCUCAAUCCAAAGAGGGGAGAGGCUGUGGAUUGAGACGCACCUCUUCUAAACUUUCUAAAAAUGUGGUUUGAAAAGCAUCCCUUGGCAAAAGAUCAUUCUCCAUCUUUGGGUCUUUUCACCCAUAGUGAGUUCGGGUUUCAGCAUCAUUCACUAAGAGAACGUUUGUUUGCUGGGCACUUCUUGGGUGGGGCAGUGGCUGGGACUAUGGGGCAGGCACAGCCCAUGGUUCUGAGCUGUGGAAGAAGCCAGAGGGCUAGUCCUUUUAAAAAGGCACUGGGCUGUUGAGCCAUUGUGUGUGAUCCAGGGGUCUGGGUCUGCCCUGAGAGGAUGCCCAGAGCCACUUCUGGCCUCGAUGCCCACUUACUGACAUUGUCCCCUCCUUUUCCCAGGCUGCCACAUGUUCUCUAGCAGUGGCCACUACACAGCUCAACUACAGGAACUUAUUAACAUAUCAAAGAGGCCUGGAAUGUAGAUAAAGACGUGGUCCUUGUCCUUAAGGAGCUUUCAUUUGUCAAUUUUUGCUGUGCUCCUACUGUAUGCAGGCAAAAGAAAAAACAGUCAGUGUACCAAACAGGCAAAAUGGAUUUUGGUCUCAAAGCGUUUGGUUGAGAGCAUGAUCCUAGGAGGUCUGAGGGGUUUGGAGGGCCCAGGGGUGGCUUCAGAGUCAGGGGAAGUGCUUGAUUGUGGAGCAAGGAUGGGGUGGUGGGUAGGCUUUGAUGAACACAGAGGAUGGUCUCUGUUAGGGUACCUAGAGCCAAGUCACACUUCUAUCACAUCCUCACUGGUUAUCGGCAUGAUAAGCAAGCCACAAGGCUGACUGGCCGAGUCCCCAGAGAUCUCACCAAUCUAGAGUCUAACUGCUUGGAGAGGGGACAGGAUGCGAUUCGUCUUUGUGCCUCCCUCUCUGACAGUUGAGGAGGCAGGCACUGAAAAGCUAGACAUGUCACUGAAUUAAAAUCUACAUUGCCCUUCUAGAUAUUCUUUGCAAAAGGCCGCUGAACCCCCUCACCUCUUUUUUCCCCCUUGGCUAUUUUUAGGUCCUCCUUUUGAUUCUCCAGGCUUUAGAGUUUUUCCUUGAAGAUGCUGGCUUGCCACAUACCUCCUUAGAUCUCAGUGCCCAUUGUUGGGUGGCGGGGGUUCUCUUUUGAUUGGAAAGAGAAGUACUAAUACUUGCUGGUGCCUGGGGAUGUCAUUCUCACCAUGAACUUAUAUUGUUACAUUGUCACCCUUUUGGAGAGAAGUAAAGUGGGUCCCAGAGUGGUUUUUCAAGCUGCCAAAGUCAUACAGCUCAAGGCCGACUGACCCGGCUCCUCACUCAGAGUUUUAGAGGGGCACCAAGAACACUCUGCUUCCAUGUUGGUCUGAUCCCCAUAGCCUGGAGUCUCUCCUACGGCAAGGACCACAUCCGAUUCGUCCUCUGCACACACCUGGGACAAAGCGACCUUCAGUAAGGACACACUGAAUCAAAGGAUGGCUCUUCUGUUGAGAUUGGGACUGGGAGAGCAGAUUCUAGAGGACCAUCUAUUACAAAAACAAACCAGCAAAUAGCGGGAUAAUCCAACACCAGAGAUGUGCAGUUUUCAUUUUGCAUUUUUCUUUAAUUCUCUUCUUGCUGUGGUGGCACUGACCAGUCAGUGAGAAAUGUGCGACUUUGCACUCCCAGACACAGUCUAACAUUGAGCAAAUCUGAGCUUACCCUCACCCCUAGCCCCGUUAAAUUGGUUUGAUCAGCCUGGUGGCCUGGAAUGUCUGAAGUCUUGCAAAAGACACAGGCGCACUUGUUGAUGGGUCUCGCGUACACUCCCAAAUUUGACAUGGCUCAACAGUUGCAGGGCUUUCUCUGUCUGCCUCUAGCCCUGCCUCUGCCUGGCUGCCCAGCCCCCUGCCAUCCUUGCCCCCAUACCAGGAGAGUAAACAUAUCUUUAAAUUUAAUUUAGAACAAAAUCCUGAUUUUAAUAACGGAGGGAGAGUUCACAUCUUAGAAAAGUCAAAAGGACUAGAUACAUGCAAGGUGGGGGGUGAGGGAAAGUUUGGCUUAAGGAAGAGUAGGGCUGGUCUGGGCUCAAAAUACCAAAGGUGUGGCCUUGGACAAGUCACUUAACCAUUCUUGAAUUUCUAUGUCCCUUUCUGGAAAUGAAGGUUACUGGUGGUUGCCAUGAGGACAAAAUAAAAAUGACCCAUGAGGAGUUCACAUGGUGGCGCAACAGGAUCGGCCAUGUUUUGGGAGCCCUGGGAUGUAGCGUUCGAUUCCCAACCUAGCACAGUGGGUUAAGGAUCUGGUGUUGCCCUCACGGCAUUGACUUAGGUUGCAACUAUGGAUCAGAUCUGAUCCCUAGCCCAAGAAUUCCACAUGCCAUGGGGCG
This 4824-nucleotide long non-coding RNA is filed under the name Sus scrofa (pig). Its description in RNAcentral is "lncRNA (ENSSSCG00000060965.1)". The record is from RNAcentral. Lineage: Eukaryota; Metazoa; Chordata; Mammalia; Artiodactyla; Suidae.